Molecule: ribosomal RNA, 305 nt
Filed under: uncultured bacterium
Lineage: Bacteria
Description: bacterial SSU rRNA
Rfam family: Bacterial small subunit ribosomal RNA
Source: RNAcentral
CCGCCCCUACGGGGCGCAGCAGUGGGGGAUAUUGCACAAUGGGGGAAACCCUGAUGCAGCGACGCCGCGUGAGUGAAGAAGCAUUUCGGUGUGUAAAGCUCUAUCAGCAGGGAAGAAGAAAUGACGGUACCUGACUAAGAAGCCCCGGCUAACUACGUGCCAGCAGCCGCGGUAAUACGUAGGGGGCAAGCGUUAUCCGGAAUCACUGGGUGUAAAGGGAGCGUAGACGGCUGAGCAAGCCUGAAGUGAAAGGCGGGGGCCCAACCCCUGGACUGCUUUGGGAACUGUACGGCUGGAGUGCAGGG